This 437-nucleotide long non-coding RNA is filed under the name Physcomitrium patens. RNAcentral's name for it is "long non-coding RNA (PPAT_LNC001943)". Lineage: Eukaryota; Viridiplantae; Streptophyta; Bryopsida; Funariales; Funariaceae. The record is from RNAcentral.
UUUACAAUUUGUUUAUGUCAAAUAAUAAGUACUUUUGCAUCUUCUCAAUUCAACAAAAAGAUCAGAUCCAUAAAAAUAAAUAAAUAAAAACAAGAAAAGUGGAAGAUAAUGAACAUUUUUUUGAACUAGAUUGUUGCUUUUGAAAAAAAUUGGAUGUAUUUUUCGUAUUAUUAAUUAAUUCAUUAAUAAUAAAAUAGAUAAUAUGAAAAAAAUAUAUAUAUUGGUAUUAAAAGAAUUAUUUAAGGCAAUUUAUAAAUUUGUUACAAGUUAGAAAAGUUUGCUAAAUUUCCAAUCAUAUUAGAUAUUACUUCAAAUAAUUUGAGCAUACUAAGGUUUAACAUUAAAACUCAAUUAAACUUAAUAUUAUUUAUAAUUAAAAUAUUUUAAGUAUAUUUGACAACCAUUUUUAAGUAUAUAGAAUGUAAAAAUUGACUCAA